Hordeum vulgare subsp. vulgare (domesticated barley) is the source of this 2307-nucleotide long non-coding RNA. RefSeq lists it as uncharacterized. The transcript is spliced from 3 exons. The record is from RefSeq and is a predicted model, not a curated record. NCBI's taxonomy places the organism in Eukaryota, Viridiplantae, Streptophyta, Magnoliopsida, Poales, Poaceae.
UGUAAUCUCUAAAAGGUCUUAUAUUUAGGAACGGAGGGAGUACAAAUUAUCAAAACAAUGAGCGAAAUUGCCCCUCUUUUCUAAGGUGCGCCCACCUAUGUAGUCCAGAUUUUUGAUCAAAUGCACAAACUUAAACAAAUGAGAAGAUCAGUUUAACACAAAUAAUAUGCAUACAGUGAAAUUUAGACAUCCAUGAUGCUUAGAAAGACAAACCUAAUUUCAAAACUUUUAGAAUAGGUGUCGACUACCCCGAAAAACCUCCUCUGAAUUGGUUCAGUGAUGGUCAACCAGCCAACCAUGUUUAAUCAACUUUUGUAGUCAAAGUAAAAUGAUCCGCUGUGUAUGAAGGAUGUAUUACAUAACAAUUAGAUACUGUAUCUGCCAUCUGCUAAUUAACAUAACCUUUGUUGGGUAUGAUAACUAGACGAUUACCUUCUUGGCCCUUAAAUUUAAUUGAAAAACUACUGUUCUGUAUGAACUGCUCUUGUCUUCUUUAUUUCUAAUUGCUUUGUGUGGAAAUAUCUCUACCAGUCUACAUUUUUCUUGAAGGACAUGCACUCCUGAUUAUUUAUGACAAGAAACUGAGAAGUUCGGUAACUCCAGUCGUGUAAAUCCUUGAGAAGAAAAAGCGAGUGUACUGCUUAAGUAAAUUGGCUCUCUUGAAAAAUACACACAACGCACAGAAAAUACUAAGUGCAAAGUAAUUCUAAAAUUACUAAGAAUAAAAGGGAAUAACUGAAAUGUCACUAAUGCUACCAAAUCUCAUCAAGGCCGUGAAAAUAAGUAAUUUUCAAGUGGCCAUGUACACCACCAGCACACAAAGUGAUGCUGAUACUUCUACGUCCCAAAUGCCAUUAAAAUAAUUUUUCUUUGUUUUUUUCUCAUACUUCUGCCUUCUGUCUAAAGGUGAUCUACAGGGGGCGUCUUGUGAGCCAUUUGCAAAUCAUAAUACUGCCAUUGUUAAUUUGUUAUACCAACCAUUGUUUAUAAAGGCGGUAAGGCAACCUGGCGAGCACCAACCGCCUUGACGCCUAAGCGAUGCCUAAGCGCCUAAAGCGGCGGCGCCUUGCCGCUUAAGCGUUCAAGGCAGGACGCCUUAUAAAUAAUGAUACUAACAAUGGAAGCAACUUGCAUGGACAUAUUCUAUGGGGCCACAUAAGAUGUCAUCAAACAGAGGAGGAUGUUUCAUUUCGAGGUUGAUUAUUUAAAACUAUCCUUACUCAUCAAACAUAGUAGGAACUUGGAGUUUCAUGAGGUAAAUUGAGAUUGGAUCUGAAGAUCUGUUGACGAAAAGUGGAUUAUGGAAUGAAAUGCAUAACGACUUUCUGAUCAGUUGAAAUUGUUAUAGAAGAGUAUCACAUUUGGACCUUUGAUCACUAUUCACUAGCAGCUGUUCAGUUCUUCUUGAACCUCCUCUUUAGGGUUUGCUACUAUGCAACGUUAUUUUGCACACACAAAAAAAAGAUUUUGAAGCACUAUACCAAAUAGCAUUGAGUGGUAUUUUUUUCCUUUGAUUGCUGUAGUCAUGUUUCAAUAUAUGGCUGGCUUCUGUUGUAGCAUUUAGCGCACUGCAUGCUGUCGCUCUCUGAUGUUUUUAUGUUGCUGUUUUGAUCAGCGUAAUUUUCUCAUAGUGUUAGCAAUUGGCUGGACGUCCACGGUUAACCUAUUCAUCAUCUUAUUCCCUGCAGGUUUGAUAGAUGGUUUGCCUGUUACUCCAAAGUCCUUGGACAUAUUAUCUAAAGAACUCCCUGUCUGUGGAAAGCUUGUUGUAUCUUGUAUCAUUAUCUCAAGCAGGCUCUCAGUUUACAUAAGUAUGGUCAGUUUGACAGCGCAGUAGAAACAUUCGAGAUUGAAGACAACUGGUACAGAUCGAAUCCGAGCUGAGAUGUCAUCAUCUGAACUGGAUGGGCGCAGUCUCGCCAGAGCAUCUUGGAACGCAGAAGAAGACCGGUCUGAAGCUUAACAAGAACUGUACUUGAUCAGCAUUCAGCAGCAUGAUUAUUAGUUGCAGAAUCUGGCGCGGAGCCGUCCUGAGCAGAGUCUUGUUGCAGGAACUUUACCUGCAAGAAAGAAAUUUGAAGGAUGCAUGCACUACUGAAAGAAGUUGGCAUCUGCACGCCGAGGCAAGAAUUUGACUGGACAUUCAGAUCGGUAACAAUUGUAGCAUUAGCAAUAGAGAGAUGUGGUACACCUAAGGCUCCGCUUGGAAUAGGUGUAAACUUAUACAUCUGGAUUUAAUUACAAGUGUAUAAUACCGAUCGUAGUACGAUUUUCAUCCGGAAUAAAAACAACCGUCCGAGGUCUGUA